CGGGAGUGGGCUAAUAGAACACCCGCAAGGGAAAUACGUCCGGCCUGCUGUGUGAGGUUUCUUAGCUCCCGACACCC
Molecule: non-coding RNA, 77 nt
Filed under: Pseudomonas mosselii
Lineage: Bacteria; Pseudomonadati; Pseudomonadota; Gammaproteobacteria; Pseudomonadales; Pseudomonadaceae
Source: RNAcentral